Molecule: ribosomal RNA, 1282 nt
Filed under: uncultured bacterium
Lineage: Bacteria
Description: bacterial SSU rRNA
Rfam family: Bacterial small subunit ribosomal RNA
Source: RNAcentral
UCUAGUGGCGGACGUGUGAGUAACGCGUGGGUAACCUGCCUUAUACAGGGGGAUAACAGUCAGAAAUGGCUGCUAAUACCGCAUAAGCGCACAGAGCUGCAUGGCUCAGUGUGAAAAACUCCGGUGGUAUAAGAUGGACCCGCGUUGGAUUAGCUGGUUGGUGGGGUAACGGCCCACCAAGGCGACGAUCCAUAGCCGGCCUGAGAGGGUGAACGGCCACAUUGGGACUGAGACACGGCCCAGACUCCUACGGGAGGCAGCAGUGGGGAAUAUUGCACAAUGGGGGAAACCCUGAUGCAGCGACGCCGCGUGAAGGAAGAAGUAUCUCGGUAUGUAAACUUCUAUCAGCAGGGAAGAUAGUGACGGUACCUGACUAAGAAGCCCCGGCUAACUACGUGCCAGCAGCCGCGGUAAAACGUAGGUCACAAGCGUUGUCCGGAAUUACUGGGUGUAAAGGGAGCGCAGGCGGGAAGACAAGUUGGAAGUGAAAUCUAUGGGCUCAACCCAUAAACUGCUUUCAAAACUGUUUUUCUUGAGUAGUGCAGAGGUAGGCGGAAUUCCCGGUGUAGCGGUGGAAUGCGUAGAUAUCGGGAGGAACACCAGUGGCGAAGGCGGCCUACUGGGCACCAACUGACGCUGAGGCUCGAAAGUGUGGGUAGCAAACAGGAUUAGAUACCCUGGUAGUCCACACCGUAAACGAUGAUUACUAGGUGUUGGAGGAUUGACCCCUUCAGUGCCGCAGUUAACACAAUAAGUAAUCCACCUGGGGAGUACGACCGCAAGGUUGAAACUCAAAGGAAUUGACGGGGGCCCGCACAAGCAGUGGAGUAUGUGGUUUAAUUCGACGCAACGCGAAGAACCUUACCAAGUCUUGACAUCCCUUGACAGGCAUAGAAAUAUGUUUUCUCUUCGGAGCAAGGAGACAGGUGGUGCAUGGUUGUCGUCAGCUCGUGUCGUGAGAUGUUGGGUUAAGUCCCGCAACGAGCGCAACCCUUAUGGUCAGUUACUACGCAAGAGGACUCUGGCCAGACUGCCGUUGACAAAACGGAGGAAGGUGGGGAUGACGUCAAAUCAUCAUGCCCUUUAUGACUUGGGCUACACACGUACUACAAUGGCGUUAAACAAAGAGAAGCAAGACCGCGAGGUGGAGCAAAACUCAGAAACAACGUCCCAGUUCGGACUGCAGGCUGCAACUCGCCUGCACGAAGUCGGAAUUGCUAGUAAUCGUGGAUCAGCAUGCCACGGUGAAUACGUUCCCGGGCCUUGCACACACCGCCCGUCA